Molecule: ribosomal RNA, 207 nt
Filed under: uncultured bacterium
Lineage: Bacteria
Description: partial 16S ribosomal RNA
Rfam family: Bacterial small subunit ribosomal RNA
Source: RNAcentral
UCUGUAGGCGGAUGAGUAAGUUGGGCGUGAAAGCUCCGGGCUUAACCCGGAGAGGCCGUUCAAUACUGCUUGACUAGAGGGCGUGAGAGGGGAGCGGAAUUCCCGGUGUAGCGGUAAAAUGCGCAGAUAUCGGGAGGAACACCAGUGGCGCAGGCGGCCCCCUGGUGCGCACCUGACGCUGAGAGACGAAAGCUAGGGGAGCGAACA